AAGUGUUACAGCUCUUUUAGAAUUUGUCUAGCAGGUUUUCUGGCUUUUACCAGAAAACCCCC
Molecule: small nuclear RNA, 62 nt
Filed under: Echinops telfairi (small Madagascar hedgehog)
Lineage: Eukaryota; Metazoa; Chordata; Mammalia; Afrosoricida; Tenrecidae
Description: U7 small nuclear RNA (ENSETEG00000025619.1)
Rfam family: U7 small nuclear RNA
About the family: Animal histone pre-mRNAs are spliced by a different mechanism than nuclear pre-mRNAs and self-splicing introns. This processing involves the U7 snRNP, which contains only one RNA species: U7.
Source: RNAcentral